GCCACCAGCCAUAUCACCCUGCAACUCACAACUGGCAACCCACUGAAGCUAAGUAGGUGUGAGCCUGGUCAGUACCUGGAUGGGAGACCACCUGGGAAAAACUAAGGUUGCUGCUGGAA
Molecule: ribosomal RNA, 119 nt
Organism: Lepisosteus oculatus (spotted gar)
Lineage: Eukaryota; Metazoa; Chordata; Actinopteri; Semionotiformes; Lepisosteidae
Source: Ensembl